GAUAAAGAACGUAGUGAAAUGCGAUACUUGGUGUGAAUUGCAGAAUCCCGUGAACCAUCGAGUCUUUGAACGCAAGUUGCGCCCGAAGCCAUUAGGCCGAGGGCACGCCUGCCUGGGCGUCACACGUCGUUGCCCCCCCAUCUACUCCUUCGGGAUUGCGGGGGGCGGAUGAUGGCCUCCCGUGCGCCUCGUCGCGCGGUUGGCAUAAAUGCCAAGUCCUCGGCGACGCACGCCACGACAAUCGGUGGUUGCGAAACCUCGGUUGCCCGUCGUGUGCGGUCGUCGCGCAUCGAGGGCUCGAAAAAAUUGCCGGGCUCCGGCUCGGCUUUCAACGCGACCCCAGGUCAGGCGGGGUUACCCGCUGAAUUUAAGCAUAUCAAUAAGCGGAGGA
RNAcentral lists this unclassified non-coding RNA (391 nucleotides) under soil metagenome. RNAcentral's name for it is "partial contains 5.8S ribosomal RNA, internal transcribed spacer 2, and large subunit ribosomal RNA". The stretch from base 1 to 122 matches the Rfam family "5.8S ribosomal RNA", at positions 35 to 154 of the family's 154-position model. The record is from RNAcentral.